UGGGGAAUCUUGCGCAAUGGACGAAAGUCUGACGCAGCGACGCCGCGUGGGGGAUGACGGCUUUCGGGUUGUAAACCCCUGUUGCCCGGGACGAACUUCCUGUUUCGACAGGAUUGACGGUACCGGGUGAGGAAGCACCGGCUAACUCUGUGCCAGCAGCCGCGGUAAUACAGAGGGUGCGAGCGUUGUCCGGAAUCACUGGGCGUAAAGGGCGCGUAGGUGGCGCGACAAGUCGGUGGUGAAAGUUCGACGCUUAACGUCGAAUCGGCCACCGAUACUGUUGGGCUGGAGCACUGUAGAGGCUCAUGGAAUUCCGGGUGUAGCGGUGGAAUGCGUAGAGAUCCGGAAGAACACCGGUGGCGAAGGCGGUGAGCUGGGCAGUUGCUGACACUGAGGCGCGACAGCGUGGGGAGCAAACAG
This 420-nucleotide ribosomal RNA is filed under the name uncultured bacterium. RNAcentral's name for it is "bacterial SSU rRNA". It matches the Rfam family "Bacterial small subunit ribosomal RNA", at positions 355 to 775 of the family's 1533-position model. The record is from RNAcentral.